UACGUAGGGCGCAAGCGUUGUUCGGAUUCAUUGGGCGUAAAGGGUGCGUAGGCGGCGCGGUAAGUCGGGUGUGAAAUCUCGGGGCUUAACUCCGAAACUGCAUUCGAUACUGCCGUGCUUGAGGACUGGAGAGGAGACUGGAAUUUACGGUGUAGCGGUGAAAUGCGUGGAUAUCGUAAGGAAGACCAGUGGCGAAGGCGGGUCUCUGGACAGUUCCUGACGCUGAGGCACGAAGGCCAGGGGAGCAAACGGG
Molecule: ribosomal RNA, 253 nt
Filed under: uncultured bacterium
Lineage: Bacteria
Description: partial 16S ribosomal RNA
Rfam family: Bacterial small subunit ribosomal RNA
Source: RNAcentral